CACGUAGGGGGCGAGCGUUGUCCGGAUUUAUUGGGCGUAAAGAGCUCGUAGGCGGCUCAGUAAGUCAGGUGUGAAAACUCCAGGCUCAACCUGGAGACGCCACCUGAUACUGCUGUGGCUAGAGUCCGGUAGGGGAGCAUGGAAUUCCUGGUGUAGCGGUGAAAUGCGCAGAUAUCAGGAGGAACACCAAUUGCGAAGGCAGCUCGCUGGGACGUUACUGACGCUGAGACGCGAAAGCGUGGGGAGCAAACAGG
Molecule: ribosomal RNA, 254 nt
Filed under: uncultured bacterium
Lineage: Bacteria
Description: partial 16S ribosomal RNA
Rfam family: Bacterial small subunit ribosomal RNA
Source: RNAcentral